GCGGACGGGUGAGUAACGCGUGGGAAUCUGCCCUCAGGAGGGGGAUAACGGCUGGAAACGGCCGCUAAUACCCCAUAUGCCGAGAGGUGAAAUGAAUUUCGCCUGAGGAUGAGCCCGCGUCUGAUUAGCUAGUUGGUGAGGUAAGAGCUCACCAAGGCAUCGAUCAGUAGCUGGUCUGAGAGGAUGAUCAGCCACACUGGGACUGAGACACGGCCCAGACUCCUACGGGAGGCAGCAGUGGGGAAUUUUCCGCAAUGGGCGAAAGCCUGACGGAGCAACGCCGCGUGAGGGAUGAAGGCCUCUGGGCUGUAAACCUCUUUUCUCAAGGAAGAAGAUCUGACGGUACUGAGGAAUAAGCCACGGCUAAUUCCGUGC
Molecule: ribosomal RNA, 375 nt
Filed under: uncultured cyanobacterium
Lineage: Bacteria; Bacillati; Cyanobacteriota
Description: bacterial SSU rRNA
Rfam family: Bacterial small subunit ribosomal RNA
Source: RNAcentral